GUGGGAUAGACUUGUAUGGAUAGAUGGUGGAGUUGAAUUAGGGUCGUAGGAAUACUGGAUCUCAAGUAGAUGAAGAUUAAAGGGAUAGAAAAGAAAGUGGACCUCAUAUCCUCUCCUGAUAAGGCGAUUUUGGAUCUCACACCCUCUUCCUCUCGAAGUAAUUGAUACAAGUAUUUAUGGAGUUUGUAAAAUUAUUCAUUAUUCUCUUUAUGAAAGAUACAAAGAUUUAUAUAGGACUCUAAGAGUC
This 247-nucleotide long non-coding RNA is filed under the name Elaeis guineensis (African oil palm). Its description in RNAcentral is "long non-coding RNA (EGUI_LNC036526)". Lineage: Eukaryota; Viridiplantae; Streptophyta; Magnoliopsida; Arecales; Arecaceae. The record is from RNAcentral.